AGCUCCAAUCGCGUAUGUCAAAGUUGUUGCCCAUAAAAAACUCGUAGUUGGAUUUCUGCUGAGGACGAUCUGUCCGCCCUCUGGGUGAGUAUCUGGCUCGGUCUUGGCAUCUUUCUGGAGAACGUAGCUGCACUUGACUGUGUGGCGCGGUAUCCGGCACUUUCACUUUGAGGAAAUUAUGUUUCAAGCAUGCGCACGCCUCGAGUACAUUAACAUGCAAUAAUAAGAUAGGACCACGGUCAUAUUUUGUUGGUUUCUAGAGCUGAAGUGAUGAUUAAUCGGGAUAGUUGGGGCAUUCGCAUUUCACGGUCGGAGGUGAAAUUCUCAGAUUUGUUACAGACGGACUACUGCGAAAGCAUUUGCCAAGGAUGUUUUCA
RNAcentral lists this ribosomal RNA (377 nucleotides) under uncultured eukaryote. RNAcentral's name for it is "SSU rRNA". It matches the Rfam family "Eukaryotic small subunit ribosomal RNA", at positions 587 to 972 of the family's 1831-position model. The record is from RNAcentral.